GACGAACGCUGGCGGCGUGCUUAACACAUGCAAGUCGAACGGAAAGGCCUCAGCUUGCUGGGGUACUCGAGUGGCGAACGGGUGAGUAACACGUGGGUGAUCUGCCUUGCACUCUGGGAUAAGCUUGGGAAACUGGGUCUAAUACCGGAUAUGAACUGCCUUUAGUGUGGUGGUUGGAAAGUUUUUUCGGUGCAAGAUGAGCUCGCGGCCUAUCAGCUUGUUGGUGGGGUAAUGGCCUACCAAGGCGUCGACGGGUAGCCGGCCUGAGAGGGUGUACGGCCACAUUGGGACUGAGAUACGGCCCAGACUCCUACGGGAGGCAGCAGUGGGGAAUAUUGCACAAUGGGCGGAAGCCUGAUGCAGCGACGCCGCGUGGGGGAUGACGGCCUUCGGGUUGUAAACGCCUUUCGACAGGGACGAAGCUUUUUGUGACGGUACCUGUAUAAGAAGCACCGGCUAACUACGUG
Molecule: ribosomal RNA, 467 nt
Filed under: uncultured bacterium
Lineage: Bacteria
Description: partial 16S ribosomal RNA
Rfam family: Bacterial small subunit ribosomal RNA
Source: RNAcentral